Bos taurus (domestic cattle) is the source of this 1460-nucleotide long non-coding RNA. The record is from Ensembl. Lineage: Eukaryota; Metazoa; Chordata; Mammalia; Artiodactyla; Bovidae.
ACCCUAAGAGAGGGCGACGCUCCUUCCGAAAGGGGCGUGGCUCAGGAAGGCGGGGUCUCUCCCACCUCCGCCCGGGGUCUGGUCUGACAGGCGUUCUAGUUCGGGCUUUCAUUCCUGCCAAGGAGCAGCUGAUCUUCAACAUCCAGCAUGCCCCAAGACCUGCCACUUCUGAGCUGUAUCAGGACACCUGCUGCUUCCUGCUGUGUCUGGUAGACCUGGCUGGUGUGGGCAUGCGCUCUCUACCCGCAUUUCUUGGGAAGACAAUGAAUGGGAAAACAAAUUAAAAAAUGGUACACAAACAUUUCUGUUGACUGUUAACCCAUUUUGGGAGAGCCUCAAAAGUCUUGAACGCAAACUACUUUUACCCAAGAAGAAAUAGAGGCUCAGAGAACUGAAAGGGUCUGCCUCAAAGAACAUGAGGGAAGGAGGGUCAUCGUUAUCAUCUGUCUAAAUUCCAUGCUGCUAAGUUGCUUCAGUCGUGUCCAACUCUGUGCGACCCCAUCGACGGAAGCCCACUAGGCUCCACCGCGCCUGGAAUUCUCCAGGCAAGAACACUGGAGUGGGUUGCCAUUUCCUUCUCCAAUGCAUGAAAGUGAAAAGUGAAAAAGAAGUCGCUCAGUCAUGUCCAACUCUUAGCGACCCCAUGGACUACAGCCUACCAGGCUCCUCCAUCCAUGGGAUUUUCCAGGCAAGAGUACUGGAGUGGGGUGCCAUUGCCUUCUCCGCUAAAUUCCAUAUAUAUGUGUUAAUAUACUGUACUGGUGUUUUUCUUUCUGACUUACUUCGCUCUGUAUGAUAAGCUCCAGUUUCAUCCACUUCAUUAGAACUGAUUCAAAUGCAUUCUUUUUAAUAGCUGAGUAAUAUUCCAUUGUGUUUAUGUACCACAGCUUGCUUAUCCAUUCGUCUGCUGAUGGACAUCUAGGUUGCUUCCAUGUCCUGGCUAUUGUAAACAGUGCUGUGAUGAACAUUAGGGUAUACGUGUCUCUUUCAAUUUAUAGAUGAAUAUUUUAGCGGGCUUUCGAAAAGGAAAAAGUCACAAAGGGCCAUUCACCCAGGCCACCACCUAGGAAGGACCCUGGCUGGAGUCAGCGAGCCACGCCCUCACUCACACUGGGUCUGGUCAGAGUAGGGAGGCGAUGGAACACCCAGAGAUGCCGUGGAGGCACGGAAUAGGGAGGUCCGGUGCAAGGGCGCUGGGCCGUUAAUUAAAGAUGUCCCACUUAGUGCCCUGGCAGGGAGGACUGACACAGUCCGGAUUCGAGCAGAAGCCAGGUGGUGACGACUGGACAGGGCGAGGAGGCUGUAGCUCGUUUCAAAAUGGAAAUGGUCCUAAAGUGGACCCGUAGGGCUUCCGCGGGUUUGCGCUCUAAAACCCUGGCCUGGGGGGCGGGGCGAGGUGGUGCAGGCGGAAGCCCUUCGAGAGGCGAGGGAGGAGACAACGGAAAUGACGCUUAGGCGCA